AGGGCCGCGGUACUUUGACCGUGCGAAGGUAGCACAAUCAUUUGUCUCUUAAUUGGGGGCUAGAAUGAACGGUUGGAUGAGGGAUUAAGUGUCUCCUUACUAUAAAUAAAAUUUUACUUUUAAGUGAAAAGGCUUAAAUCUUAUUAAGUGAAGAUAAGACCCUAUAAAACUUAUAUAAAAUUAGAUUGUAAUUUAUUUAAUAAAGUAUAAAAUAAAACGGUUUAGAUUGUAUUUUGUUGGGGCGACAAUAAUAGAAUAGGUAUCUGUUGUUUAUAAUAAGUUAAUGAUAAUUAAUAAGUGAACCUUUCCUAAGGGUUAAAAGAUUAAGUUACUUUAGGGAUAACAGCGUGAUUUUCUUUGAGAGAUCCAAUCGACAAGAGUAGUUGCGACCUCGAUGUUGAAUUAAAAUUUUCUAUAAAGUGCAGAAGCUUUAAUAGUAAGUCUGUUCGACUUUUAAAAUUUU
This 463-nucleotide ribosomal RNA is filed under the name Harpilius lutescens. RNAcentral's name for it is "partial 16S ribosomal RNA". It matches the Rfam family "Bacterial large subunit ribosomal RNA", at positions 1927 to 2597 of the family's 2925-position model. The record is from RNAcentral. Lineage: Eukaryota; Metazoa; Arthropoda; Malacostraca; Decapoda; Palaemonidae.